Xenia sp. Carnegie-2017 is the source of this 214-nucleotide long non-coding RNA. RefSeq lists it as uncharacterized. The record is from RefSeq and is a predicted model, not a curated record. Lineage: Eukaryota; Metazoa; Cnidaria; Anthozoa; Malacalcyonacea; Xeniidae. The transcript has 2 exons.
AUUUGAUUUGAGCAUGUCUGUCUGUGGUCAUUGACUUCACCUUCAUCCCACUUUCAUCAAACUUUGCCAGACAUCUUUUUAAUUCCUCAAGUUCCAUUGCUCCAGAGUUGGUCACUUCAUUGGACUGUUUAACAUAAUUAUAUUCCAAAUCCAUGCAGCUAUAUGACCCAUACUUGGCACAAUAUCCAGGAAAUCACAUCUUCCAUCUCUUCCA